RNAcentral lists this long non-coding RNA (655 nucleotides) under Panax ginseng (ginseng). RNAcentral's name for it is "long non-coding RNA (PGIN_LNC004397)". Lineage: Eukaryota; Viridiplantae; Streptophyta; Magnoliopsida; Apiales; Araliaceae. The record is from RNAcentral.
GCUUAAAGAAAUGGUAUCGUGGAGAACCGAGUUCGGAUUUCAAGUACCUGGAUUUGGGGUCGCCAAAGAGAUAAGUACGGAUAUAGUUUGGAAAGACAUCUUGCAAACGCACCUCAGAACUUUAGAUCCCAAACUGUCUUGGGGUAUAUCAGUAGUAAAGCCAUGCAACAUCAAGAUGAGGAUUAGUGUCAAACCAUGCACUGCAGCAUCUCUUAGAAGAAGACCGUUGAGUCGACAAAGAAUAACAUAGAGUCCAUAGCUACCUUGUGACGCCCCCAAAACAGGUAUACAUCACCCAUCUUGAGUCGCCAGAUACAUGGUGCAUAAAUUCAAAUACAACUUAAUUAUACAACAGUCGUGUAAAAUACGACAAAAUAUAGCUAAGAGUUUAAACAAGAAUAUUGUCAUCUAGACAAUAUCCACACUCAAUGGAGUCCUCAUUACAAUUAUUGUCACACUAUUUUAUAGAAUAGUGAGGACUACUAAAACAACCAUGUGGACCGUCAAUCCGUUCCUCGACUCGUCCCAACUAUAUUCUCAUUUCCUGAAGAGAAUUGUGAAAGAAAGGGUGAGCUCAACUAGCCCAGUAAGAAAUAUUAUCCUUAGCCUUCAACAGUAUAACAACUGAUAGAAUACAAUAGACAACAAGUUUUAG